RNAcentral lists this ribosomal RNA (564 nucleotides) under uncultured bacterium. RNAcentral describes it as "bacterial SSU rRNA". It matches the Rfam family "Bacterial small subunit ribosomal RNA", at positions 338 to 916 of the family's 1533-position model. The record is from RNAcentral.
CCUACGGGAGGCAGCAGUGGGGAAUCUUGCGCAAUGGGCGAAAGCCUGACGCAGCAACGCCGCGUGCGGGAAGAAGGCCUUCGGGUCGUAAACCGCUUUCAGCAGGAACGAAAAUGACGGUACCUGCAGAAGAAGGUGCGGCCAACUACGUGCCAGCAGCCGCGGUGACACGUAGGCACCAAGCGUUGUCCGGAUUCAUUGGGCGUAAAGAGCUCGUAGGCGGUUCAGCAAGUCGGGUGUGAAAACUCUGGGCUUAACCCAGAGCCUGCAUCCGAAACUGCUGUGACUUGAGUUCGGUAGGGGAGCGGGGAAUUCCUGGUGUAGCGGUGAAAUGCGCAGAUAUCAGGAGGAACACCGGUGGCGAAGGCGCCGCUCUGGGCCGACACUGACGCUGAGGAGCGAAAGCAUGGGUAGCAAACAGGAUUAGAUACCCUGGUAGUCCAUGCCGUAAACGUUGGGCACUAGGUGUGGGUUUCAACUAACGAGAUCCGCGCCGUCGCUAACGCAUUAAGUGCCCCGCCUGGGGAGUACGGUCGCAAGACUAAAACUCAAAGGAAUUGACGG